AAAAAUUACACCACUCCAGACCCUUUUGUUUUCCACAUAAUUAAUAUUGCCAAUAAUUAACAAAUUCCGGGUCGAAUCCGAUACCGAUACCAAUAGUAUAUUCACCUGUUAGCUAUUACCUUAUCUGUACGUUCCGCAUUUGACAGGCGCACCACCAAACGGUGUAGUUAGGAUUUUGCUAUAUACACGGGUCAUAAUCAAAGGGCUGAUACUACUAAAUUCAAUCAUUGUCAAAUUGUUCCCUAUUGUAGUUUUAUUCAGCAACCAGCACUUUCUAAGAUAACUAAUAUAGGACAAUGCUGUUGAUUAAAAAAUACUCCAUUCCUGGAUAGCCAGGACCUUUUGUUUUCCAAAUAAUUAAUAUUACCAAUAAUUGAUAAGUUCCAGGUCGACGGGUUCAAACAGAAAGAUUUGAAAGCAGAGAAAACUUUGUAUCUUAUAAUCGACAUGACUUUAUCAGAUGACAAUACUAAUUACUAAAAUAAGGCUUAGGCAUAGUUAUAUACUCUAAUUCAGUCACGGACCCGCGAUAUCACGGGUGUGUACUUGUAUUUUAUAAAUAUGUCGUUUGU
This 572-nucleotide long non-coding RNA is filed under the name Mytilus galloprovincialis (Mediterranean mussel). Lineage: Eukaryota; Metazoa; Mollusca; Bivalvia; Mytilida; Mytilidae. The record is from RNAcentral.